UACGUAGGGUGCAAGCGUUGUCCGGAAUUAUUGGGCGUAAAGAGCUUGUAGGCGGUUUGUCGCGUCCGCUGUGAAAACUCGGGGCUUAACCCCGAGCCUGCAGUGGAUACGGGCAGACUAGAGGUAGGUAGGGGAGAAUGGAAUUCCCGGUGUAGCGGUGAAAUGCGCAGAUAUCGGGAGGAACACCGGUGGCGAAGGCGGUUCUCUGGGCCUUACCUGACGCUGAGGAGCGAAAGCGUGGGGAGCGAACAGG
Molecule: ribosomal RNA, 253 nt
Filed under: uncultured bacterium
Lineage: Bacteria
Description: partial 16S ribosomal RNA
Rfam family: Bacterial small subunit ribosomal RNA
Source: RNAcentral